AUGAGGAAGAUGCCCACAGUCCAGCAGAUCCGGAUGAAGAUGUGUCCUUGGUGGGCGAUGAGGACGAGGCAGGCUGCGGUGGCGUACAGGCAGUGGCCGACGAUGGUGAGCGCGAGCACGAGGCAGGCGAGGGCGCGGCGGACCCAGCGACGGCGGCAAAGGAGGCGCAGCGCCAGCACCGCCCAGGCCGCCAGGACCGGGACUCAGGACAACAUCCCGAGGCAGACGGCGUUCACCACGGCUUUGUCCGCGUCCGUCAGGUGGUCACAAGGCAGAAAGGAGAAUUGUGGCAGGGGAAAUUCAGAACGCAUGCAGGGAGAAGGGUAG
This 327-nucleotide ribosomal RNA is filed under the name Triticum aestivum (bread wheat). RNAcentral's name for it is "partial small subunit ribosomal RNA". The record is from RNAcentral. Lineage: Eukaryota; Viridiplantae; Streptophyta; Magnoliopsida; Poales; Poaceae.